Molecule: long non-coding RNA, 1376 nt
Filed under: Glycine max (soybean)
Lineage: Eukaryota; Viridiplantae; Streptophyta; Magnoliopsida; Fabales; Fabaceae
Description: long non-coding RNA (GMAX_LNC003803)
Source: RNAcentral
UGAGAAUAAGGCAUUUUAAUAAAUAAAUUAAUACUAGUUGUAUGUAGAUGGUAGACUUUGAAUCUAUAAAUGAAAUAAAUAUUAUAUAUAUAUAUAUAUAUAUAAAGGAAUGAUUAAAUUUAAAGAUAAUGACAUCAGGAAAUUAGAACAGAGGAAAAAAAAUACACAUACAAGAAAAUAACACGUAUUAAGCAAAGCCAUCAUGGACGACUUUUCCUUCAAAAGGGAUUUUUAGCUUGCAACUUGUCAAGUUUUAGAUGCUACAGAAAGUAGUCCAAAAAGUACUACUAAAGAAAAUCAACUAGUGUUGAUCUGAAAAUUGGCUCUGGCAUCCUUUAAGCACGUAAUCUUAGAUAAAACCCCAAGAUUCAUAUAUAUGGGGGAAAAUAUGAGAUUGAAAGGGUUUUAGCUUGCUUCUGACCAUACUUCUUGGAAAAAAAACAGUUAGAUAAAACCCUUCACAUGGGAAGCAAGUCAUAGAUAGCGUUCUUCCUUUGAAUUUGAAAGUUGAAACAUCUAAUCGCUGAAACAUGGAACCUAUCUGUCUUUUUGUCGUAUACAACUAAUUAAGGUACGAGUAUCCCUAAUUUGUGUCUACCAAUAUUUCAUUUGCUGGAAGCAUAAAAACAAAGUUGGAUAGUGGAUAUACUCCUAUAUCCCUAGUUAAGUCUCAUAAAUUACGGAAAAUUUUUCGAUCACAUAAAGAAAUGCUGGUAAGCUUAAUAUACUAAUCGAAUUUUAUAAUUGAUUCUUCAUGACAAGAAAAUUGUCAUUUGAUGUCACAUGUUGCAAAUAACCACAUAAAGAGGCAUAUGGCAAAAUACUUGCAGCACCUUUUUGCUUGAAGAAAAAGGUAUGUUUCUUGAUAAACUUCUUAGUAACCACUACUAAGAGAAAAAAAAGAAGCACAGUGAAUUAAGCUUUUUUUCCAAAGUUAAAAUUAGUCUAUACAUAAGUUAAAAUCAGAUUUUGGAAAACUUGUACAAAUUAAUUUAUAUAUAAGUUUUGGUUUUUAACCAAGUCACAUGAAAUAGUGUGAUCCAUAUUACCAACCUUACUUAAUAAGAUAAGGCUUUAUUUUUAACUUAGGAGAAAAAAUAUAUUGUUUUUCUUAACUUAUCUAUAUGAUAGUUACAAUAAAUGUAGUAAAUAUGCUAAAAACUUGAUUAAGUAUCCAACUUACACAAAGGCUGGUGUGUAUCUGAACUUGGCUGGCCAUGGCACAGGCUGUGGCACAAGAAUAACCUCUGUUUGAUUACCAGUGACGAUCACCACAACAGCUACCAGUGAUGCUGCAAAUAACACAAACCUUAGGAUAACAUCAAAUUUAAAGUAAUCAACACCCGCAGGAGCUGGAGUUGAAGAUGAUGUUCUGU